UUAUUAUGUUUAUUAAAACUUGUUUACAUUCAUUAUACUGAGUUUAUAAAAAGGGGGGUUGAACUGUCCUUCGCAAUUAAGCUGCAGACAGAACAAGAGCACAGGGUGUAUGUGGAUGUGAAGGGACCUGGCAAGCUCUUGCGAGACUUGAACCAAGUAUUUAAAUCACUAGUGAUCCUUCCGCAGGUUCACCUACGGAAA
This 201-nucleotide unclassified non-coding RNA is filed under the name uncultured fungus. Its description in RNAcentral is "sequence contains ITS1". Lineage: Eukaryota; Fungi. The record is from RNAcentral.